This is a long non-coding RNA of Apodemus sylvaticus (European woodmouse), 1204 nucleotides long. RefSeq lists it as uncharacterized. The record is from RefSeq and is a predicted model, not a curated record. NCBI's taxonomy places the organism in Eukaryota, Metazoa, Chordata, Mammalia, Rodentia, Muridae. The transcript is spliced from 2 exons.
CGCCUUGAAGAUCGGUGAAGGCGGGCAGCGUGGGUAAUAGUUGUACCCUCCCGUGGGGCCCACAGAGGUGCGCACACAAGCAUGUGGAACAAGUAUCCUAGAUUGACCUGCCAGCAAACUUUGCAACUAAUGACUUCCCUGGAUUUCAUCUAAAAGAUGAAGACAGACCUUCAAUCUAAAAGAUCUUUGGAUUACAAGCAGAGACACACAGCUCCAGUCCUUGCAGAUGAAGGUUUUUAUUAUGAUGCAAAGACUUUCCUUUAGCCCUGUGUAAUGGGGCAUGCCCUUAGUCCCAGUCCACAGGAAGCAAAGGCUUGACACAUUUAUGUAAGGUUCAGGCCAACCUGGUCCAACCUGGUCUUCUGCCUGUCUUUUUUUUUUUUUUUUUUUUUUUUGUUUUGUUUUUUUGGUUUUUUGGAUUUUUUUUUUUCCAGACAGGGUUUCUCUGUGUAGCCCUGGCUGUCCUGGAACUCACUCUGUAGACCAGGCUGACCUCAAACUCAGAAAUCCGCCUGCCUCUGCCUCCCAGAGUGCUGGGAUUACACGCGUGCGCCACCACCGCCUGGCAUCUUCUACCUGUCUUGACCAUAGGCUCUGAACAUAUCUGUCACUUCUUUUGACCCUGUCCAGUGGGUCUCAUGCUUCAGAGGUGGAGAACAGCAGCUCAGGUGGCUGGCCAGACCCCAUUCAUCGUAUACCCCAUUCUUCUUUCACUGAGACUUUUCAGUUCCCCAAAAUGUAGCCCAGAUCCUUAUCCAUUCCUUCCAAUUUUGCUCUCACUGAUAAAAUAGUUAAGUAGACUUCUUAGAAGACUUAUAGAGCAAACCAAUUGCAUUAAAGUUUACUACCAAAAUGUUUCCUUUAAAUUGUGACACGAGUUGUACAUUUUAAGCUGUGUGAUGGUUCAUGUCUAUAAUCUCAGCACUAAGGAGGCUGAGGCAGGAGAAUAAGCUCAAGGCCAGUCCAGAUUGUCUCAAGGAGUGGUGGUGGUACAUUCUUCAAGUGAGGUAUAACCAGCUCUGUAUCUAUUCUUUAUAACAUUUGAGUGUCCUUGUCCUUAUUGUGUAUUUAUUUUUGAGAAAAGUCUCACUCUAAAUCCCUGGCUGUCCUGGAAUUUGCUAUGUGGCUCAGGCUGCCCUGGAACUCAAUAGAGAUCUUUUUACCUCUGUCUCCCCAUUACUGGCACUAAAGGCAUGCACCAUAA